Molecule: ribosomal RNA, 1316 nt
Filed under: Escherichia coli
Lineage: Bacteria; Pseudomonadati; Pseudomonadota; Gammaproteobacteria; Enterobacterales; Enterobacteriaceae
Description: partial 23S ribosomal RNA
Rfam family: Bacterial large subunit ribosomal RNA
Source: RNAcentral
UGUUUCGGCAAGGGGGUCAUCCCGACUUACCAACCCGAUGCAAACUGCGAAUACCGGAGAAUGUUAUCACGGGAGACACACGGCGGGUGCUAACGUCCGUCGUGAAGAGGGAAACAACCCAGACCGCCAGCUAAGGUCCCAAAGUCAUGGUUAAGUGGGAAACGAUGUGGGAAGGCCCAGACAGCCAGGAUGUUGGCUUAGAAGCAGCCAUCAUUUAAAGAAAGCGUAAUAGCUCACUGGUCGAGUCGGCCUGCGCGGAAGAUGUAACGGGGCUAAACCAUGCACCGAAGCUGCGGCAGCGACGCUUAUGCGUUGUUGGGUAGGGGAGCGUUCUGUAAGCCUGUGAAGGUGUGCUGUGAGGCAUGCUGGAGGUAUCAGAAGUGCGAAUGCUGACAUAAGUAACGAUAAAGCGGGUGAAAAGCCCGCUCGCCGGAAGACCAAGGGUUCCUGUCCAACGUUAAUCGGGGCAGGGUGAGUCGACCCCUAAGGCGAGGCCGAAAGGCGUAGUCGAUGGGAAACAGGUUAAUAUUCCUGUACUUGGUGUUACUGCGAAGGGGGGACGGAGAAGGCUAUGUUGGCCGGGCGACGGUUGUCCCGGUUUAAGCGUGUAGGCUGGUUUUCCAGGCAAAUCCGGAAAAUCAAGGCUGAGGCGUGAUGACGAGGCACUACGGUGCUGAAGCAACAAAUGCCCUGCUUCCAGGAAAAGCCUCUAAGCAUCAGGUAACAUCAAAUCGUACCCCAAACCGACACAGGUGGUCAGGUAGAGAAUACCAAGGCGCUUGAGAGAACUCGGGUGAAGGAACUAGGCAAAAUGGUGCCGUAACUUCGGGAGAAGGCACGCUGAUAUGUAGGUGAAGUCCCUCGCGGAUGGAGCUGAAAUCAGUCGAAGAUACCAGCUGGCUGCAACUGUUUAUUAAAAACACAGCACUGUGCAAACACGAAAGUGGACGUAUACGGUGUGACGCCUGCCCGGUGCCGGAAGGUUAAUUGAUGGGGUCAGCGCAAGCGAAGCUCUUGAUCGAAGCCCCGGUAAACGGCGGCCGUAACUAUAACGGUCCUAAGGUAGCGAAAUUCCUUGUCGGGUAAGUUCCGACCUGCACGAAUGGCGUAAUGAUGGCCAGGCUGUCUCCACCCGAGACUCAGUGAAAUUGAACUCGCUGUGAAGAUGCAGUGUACCCGCGGCAAGACGGAAAGACCCCGUGAACCUUUACUAUAGCUUGACACUGAACAUUGAGCCUUGAUGUGUAGGAUAGGUGGGAGGCUUAGAAGUGUGGACGCCAGUCUGCAUGGAGCCGACCUUGAAAUACCACCCUUUA